UCCUUAUGGCCCUCAUAAGCAUUACCGAGCAAGUUCUAAAGGUAAAGACAGUAAUCGACACUCUCAACAAGAAAUAAAUACAAGCAUAUAAAGUGUAUGCUUACAAUUAAGGCUCAAUUUCUCACAAGUGUGCUUUUUGAGUAGGUUCCAAACAAAAAUCAUCAAAACAGAAUUAAAUAAACCAAAGCAACUUAGUGCAAAACUCAAACUAAUUAUCUUACAUUCUUCCGCAAGACUCAACACUAUCGGUUUUACCCGAU
This 260-nucleotide long non-coding RNA is filed under the name Ricinus communis (castor bean). RNAcentral describes it as "long non-coding RNA (RCOM_LNC000209)". Lineage: Eukaryota; Viridiplantae; Streptophyta; Magnoliopsida; Malpighiales; Euphorbiaceae. The record is from RNAcentral.